GGUUUAGUAGUUAAAAUAUAAUAGCGGACUGCAAACCCGCGGUUGCUGUAAGGGCCUAAGC
This 61-nucleotide transfer RNA is filed under the name Xenostrobus securis. Its description in RNAcentral is "tRNA-Cys". Lineage: Eukaryota; Metazoa; Mollusca; Bivalvia; Mytilida; Modiolidae. The record is from RNAcentral.